AGAAAAAUUCUACUUUCCAUCUGCUUGGCUGCGGAGGACCUUGGGGUGGGCUCAGCGUGGGGGCUGCAGGCAGAAAUGGGUCCAGAAGGCAAGGUCGAGGUUAGAGCCAAGCCUGUGGGCAGGGCUACGGGCAGGGGGCGGGGAGGAAUGUGGGUCCAGGCCCAGAGGAAAAGGUUGAAGUUAUAGCCAGGCCUGUGGGCGAGGCCGCAGCAGGGCGGCCAUAGGGGAAGGAGCCAAUGUGUUAUGCAUGUAGAAAAUAGACAAAAUCUCACUCUGUCACCAAGGCUGGAGUUCAGUGGAGCCAUCUCAGCUCACUGCAACCUCCACCUCCCAGGUUCAAGCGAUUCUCCUGCCUCAUCCUCCCAAGUAGCUGGAAUUACAGGUGCAUGCUGCCACACCCUGCUAAUUUUUGUAUUUUUAGUAGAGGCAGGGUUUUGCCAUGCUGGCCAGGCUGGUCUUGAACUACUUGUCAGGCCUCUGAGCCCAAGUUAAAUCAUCAUAAACCCUGUCACCUGCACGUAUACAUCCAGAUGGCCUGGAGCAACUGAAGAACCACAAAAGAAGUGAAACAGCCAGUUCCUGCCUUAACUGAUGACGUUCCACCAUUGUGAUUUGUUGCUGCCCCACCCCAACUGAUCUCUUGACCUUGUGACAUUCUUCUUCUGGACGAGUCUCAGGAGUUCCCCACCGAGCACCUUGUGACCCCCGGCCCUGCCAGCAAAAGAUAACCACCUUUAACUUUCCACUACCUACCCAAAUCCUAUAAAACUGCCCCACCCCUAUCUCCCUUUGCUGACCCCUUUCUCGGACUCAGCCCACUUGCACCCAAGUGAAUAAACAGCCUUGUUGCUAA
RNAcentral lists this long non-coding RNA (853 nucleotides) under Homo sapiens (human). RNAcentral's name for it is "HSALNT0396035". The record is from RNAcentral. Lineage: Eukaryota; Metazoa; Chordata; Mammalia; Primates; Hominidae.